AUUCUGGACAUGAUGCCUGAAGGCAU
This 26-nucleotide non-coding RNA is filed under the name Cricetulus griseus (Chinese hamster). The record is from RNAcentral. Lineage: Eukaryota; Metazoa; Chordata; Mammalia; Rodentia; Cricetidae.